AACGAACGCUGGCGGCAGGCUUAACACAUGCAAGUCGAACGGUUGUAGCAAUACAGCAGUGGCGCACGGGUGAGUAACGCGUGGAUAUCUGCCUUUUGGUUCGGAAUAACUCCGGGAAACUGGAGCUAAUACCGGAUGGUUCCUGCGGGAUAAAGAUUUAUCGCCAAAAGAUGAGUCCGCGUACGAUUAGCUAGUUGGUGAGGUAAUGGCUCACCAAGGCGACGAUCGUUAGCUGGUCUGAGAGGACGAUCAGCCACACUGGGACUGAGACACGGCCCAGACUCCUACGGGAGGCAGCAGUGGGGAAUAUUGGACAAUGGGGGCAACCCUGAUCCAGCCAUGCCGCGUGAGUGAUGAA
This 358-nucleotide ribosomal RNA is filed under the name uncultured bacterium. Its description in RNAcentral is "bacterial SSU rRNA". It matches the Rfam family "Bacterial small subunit ribosomal RNA", at positions 29 to 412 of the family's 1533-position model. The record is from RNAcentral.